Molecule: long non-coding RNA, 508 nt
Organism: Bombyx mori (domestic silkworm)
Lineage: Eukaryota; Metazoa; Arthropoda; Insecta; Lepidoptera; Bombycidae
Exons: 3
Source: RefSeq, a predicted model, not a curated record
AUUCGAAACAAGGCAAUACGGUAGACCAAAAUACCACAUCCUGAAAUUCAAAAUUCAAGUACGUUAAGGCACUGGAUAUGGAUGAAGAAUUAGGAAGCGGAAUUAAAUUAUAAUUUGGAAUAUUUGCAUACUUCAAAUACCUUUUACAUAGAGAACAAGAUCGUCAGCAAAGAAUAAAUGUUUAACAGAAUUUGGAAUUUUCUUUAUGAAACAUACUAAACUAAGUAUGAAUAUGAGAGGUGAUAAAACGCAACCUUGAGGAGUACCUUUAGUAGAAAUUUUAGGACCAAAUAAACUAGAUUUAAUUUUCAAAAACAUAGAGCGCUUGUUCAGGAAAUUGUACAGCCAGAACAGAACAUGUCCUGGAAAGCCUAAAGAAUGUAGACUUUCAAUAAGAACCAGCUAUCGAAUCCAAAAACAAAGAUGCAUUAGCGGGAUUUUGAAAAAAACUUGAAGACGAAGAAAUGUUAUUGAGUUUAGCGUGCUUAAAUCUACGAAUGUGAUCCCA